This is a long non-coding RNA of Schistocerca cancellata (South American locust), 1112 nucleotides long. RefSeq lists it as uncharacterized. Lineage: Eukaryota; Metazoa; Arthropoda; Insecta; Orthoptera; Acrididae. The transcript has 4 exons. The record is from RefSeq and is a predicted model, not a curated record.
CAGUCUGAGUCUGAACAGCCCAUAAUGCGUCCAGGGUGCGUAGCUGGCAGCAAAUGACACUUCCAUGCUCGGUUGUGUCUGCUACCACGUCGGCAACGGCCAGAGAGGAAUCAGCUGCGGCGAAAAACAGACAUGCUGGACCAACUGUAAAUCUUACGGAUGUUCUCUCUGGAGCGAACCGUGCAAUAACCUCAAGCCACCAUCCACUGCGAUACCCGCCUGUGAACACUGGAUACUGAGGAGCGGCUAUGAACUGCCGCUGCCUGCUGCGCAAAACCCGCAGCCUCAAUGCGGGGAGAAUUGUGGGUGCGCCCUGGCUGCGAUCCGUGGCCUCACGUGGCCCGCAGUCAGCGAAGCCACCACUGACCUCGUAUGCCUCGUCGCCGCCGAAAGGGGCUAAACGACUUCAUCUGAGACAUCCCAUCUUCUCGCAGUUGCUGCAGGCUUUUCGUCGCAUCUCAACAGUCAUAAUCACGAGAAGUCUACUUAUCGAUAAAUAUAGCUGAAAUUUUAUUCUGCUCUACCAGUUCUCCAACAAAACUUGUGAGGCGUGGUAGCUGCAGAGCAGAUGCAACGCUACGCUCUCCGCGGACACUGGCUUCCUGGAGCUCCUGAUGAACGUCCUGGACCAUCCCACCUGUCCACUGGAAGACCUGCCGCCAGACACCAUGGAGCCGCCUAAGCAGCUGCGAAACGACGUGCCGCCGAGGUCUCCCAACAUCCCUGUGGCCAGCGACCUCGCGUGCACACCUCUGCCUCUUUCCCUGGAUCGCUGUCAGCUCGUUCAGCAUUUGUCAGGACGUCCCAUUUACUACGACACACAGUGUGCAUGAUGCACGCUGCUAUUUAGACAGUCUUGCCAAGCAGUCGUGUCCGGAAUUGAAGGCUCUGUUUCCAGAGCUAUCCUGUUUCUGAAGUGUCGCAAUUUGUUCCUUUGUAAAGUCUCCUGGAGGGUCACCUUUUCCAGAAAAAUAAGUAACUUACUGCCCGAAUUUGAUUGGAAAGAGGACAAGCCAACAGAGAAAACACUGAGUCACAGAGCCAUGUUAGGCAGUGCCACCUCGAAAUACAAGCAUAUUAAAAUGCACAGAUUAAAACUUUUCGAAAUCUGA